CUGUGGAAGCUUAUUCUUCUUGCUGCCUCCUGGGGAGUUUCUAUUUUUCUCUUGUUCGUCUGGAGGACCGUCCUUGCUGUAAAGCCUCCAGUGUGUCAAGUUACUUUAAAGCAGAUGACUGAGCAGAGCAAGAAUUUGGAGAAUGAAAACAGAGAACUUGCAGAAAAUAUAUCUGCUUGGGUGCAGAAGACCAACAACACAAAGAAAUGCUUAGAGGAGGCCAUCAGGCAAAAGAAGCUGCCCUCUGAGAAAGCACUGAAGUUUAAGGUACGAACCUCUUGUUAGAUUACAUUCUGAAAAUAGAAAUGAAAGUAAUGAGUAAUUGUUACUAAUUCAAUGUUUCAUUGAAUGAGAGCUUGAAAGCCAUUGAGAAGGUGAAUGAAAAUUUGAAUGACAUCAUUCAGAUUGUUCGAGCUAAGCUGCAGGCAGUGAGGGACCAGAACGCCAAGAG
Long non-coding RNA from Camelus dromedarius (Arabian camel), 451 nucleotides. RefSeq lists it as uncharacterized. The transcript has 4 exons. The record is from RefSeq and is a predicted model, not a curated record. NCBI's taxonomy places the organism in Eukaryota, Metazoa, Chordata, Mammalia, Artiodactyla, Camelidae.